UACGAAGGGGGCUAGCGUUGCUCGGAAUCACUGGGCGUAAAGCGCACGUAGGCGGAUCUUUAAGUCAGGGGUGAAAUCCUGGAGCUCAACUCCAGAACUGCCUUUGAUACUGGGGAUCUCGAGUCCGGGAGAGGUGAGUGGAACUCCGAGUGUAGAGGUGAAAUUCGUAGAUAUUCGGAAGAACACCAGUGGCGAAGGCGGCUCACUGGCCCGGUACUGACGCUGAGGCGCGAAAGCGUGGGGAGCAAACAGG
Molecule: ribosomal RNA, 253 nt
Filed under: uncultured bacterium
Lineage: Bacteria
Description: partial 16S ribosomal RNA
Rfam family: Bacterial small subunit ribosomal RNA
Source: RNAcentral